RNAcentral lists this ribosomal RNA (497 nucleotides) under uncultured bacterium. RNAcentral's name for it is "partial 16S ribosomal RNA". It matches the Rfam family "Bacterial small subunit ribosomal RNA", at positions 28 to 507 of the family's 1533-position model. The record is from RNAcentral.
GAUGAACGCUGGCGGCGUGCCUAAUACAUGCAAGUCGAGCGAACGGACGAGAAGCUUGCUUCUCUGAUGUCAGCGGCGGACGGGUGAGUAACACGUGGAUAACCUACCUAUAAGACUGGGAUAACUUCGGGAAACCGGAGCUAAUACCGGAUGAUAUUUUGAACCGCAUGGUUCAAAAGUGAAAGACGGUCUUGCUGUCACUUAUAGAUGGAUCCGCGCUGCAUUAGCUAGUUGGUAAGGUAACGGCUUACCAAGGCAACGAUGCAUAGCCGACCUGAGAGGGUGAUCGGCCACACUGGAACUGAGACACGGUCCAGACUCCUACGGGAGGCAGCAGUAGGGAAUCUUCCGCAAUGGGCGAAAGCCUGACGGAGCAACGCCGCGUGAGUGAUGAAGGUCUUCGGAUCGUAAAACUCUGUUAUUAGGGAAGAACAUAUGUGUAAGUAACUGUGCACAUCUUGACGGUACCUAAUCAGAAAGCCACGGCUAACUACGUG